RNAcentral lists this ribosomal RNA (456 nucleotides) under uncultured bacterium. RNAcentral's name for it is "bacterial SSU rRNA". It matches the Rfam family "Bacterial small subunit ribosomal RNA", at positions 340 to 786 of the family's 1533-position model. The record is from RNAcentral.
UACGGAAGGCAGCAGGGGGGAAUAUUGCACAAUGGGCGCAAGCCUGAUGCAGCCAUGCCGCGUGUAUGAAGAAGGCCUUCGGGUUGUAAAGUACUUUCAGUCGUGAGGAAGGUGUUAAGGUUAAUAACCUUAGCAAUUGACGUUAGCGACAGAAGAAGCACCGGCUAACUCCGUGCCAGCAGCCGCGGUAAUACGGAGGGUGCGAGCGUUAAUCGGAAUUACUGGGCGUAAAGGGCACGCAGGCGGUUAAUUAAGUUGGAUGUGAAAUCCCCGGGCUUAACCUGGGAAUGGCAUUCAAGACUGGUUAGCUAGAGUCUUGUAGAGGGGGGUUAGAAUUCCAUGUGUAGCGGUGAAAUGCGUAGAGAUGUGGAGGAAUACCGGUGGCGAAGGCGGCCCCUGGGACAAAGACUGACGCUCAUGUGCGAAAGCGUGGGGAGCAAACAGGGAUUAGAUACC